RNAcentral lists this ribosomal RNA (418 nucleotides) under uncultured bacterium. Its description in RNAcentral is "bacterial SSU rRNA". It matches the Rfam family "Bacterial small subunit ribosomal RNA", at positions 29 to 450 of the family's 1533-position model. The record is from RNAcentral.
AACGAACGCUGGCGGCGCGCUUAACACAUGCAAGUCGAACGCUCUGGGGGCAACUCAGGGAGUGGCGAACGGGUGCGUAACACGUGGGUAAUCUGCCUCCGAGGUCGGGAUAACUCGCCGAAAGGCGAGCUAAUACCGGAUAUGCUCACGUUUCCGAGAGGAAGAGUGAGGAAAGGCGAAAGCCGAUCGGAGAUGAGCCCGCGGCCCAUCAGCUAGUUGGCGAGGUAAAGGCNCACCAAGGCGACGACGGGUAGCUGGUCUGAGAGGACGGCCAGCCACACUGGAACUGAGACACGGUCCAGACUCCUACGGGAGGCAGCAGUGGGGAAUCUUGCGCAAUGGGCGAAAGCCUGACGCAGCGACGCCGCGUGUGCGAUGAAGGUCUUCGGAUCGUAAAGCACUGUCGACCCGGGAAAAA